RNAcentral lists this unclassified non-coding RNA (253 nucleotides) under uncultured Bradymonadales bacterium. RNAcentral describes it as "contains 16S-23S intergenic spacer region". It matches the Rfam family "Bacterial small subunit ribosomal RNA", at positions 524 to 776 of the family's 1533-position model. Lineage: Bacteria; Deltaproteobacteria; Bradymonadales. The record is from RNAcentral.
GACGGAGGGUGCGAGCGUUGUUCGGAAUCAUUGGGCGUAAAGGGCGCGCAGGCGGCCCGCCGCGUCCGGUGUGAAAGCCCGGGGCUCAACCCCGGAAUCGCACUGGAAACGGGCGGGCUUGAGUCCGGGAGAGGCCAGUGGAAUUCCUGGUGUAGGGGUGAAAUCCGUAGAUAUCAGGAGGAACACCGGCGGCGAGAGCGACUGGCUGGACCGGGACUGACGCUGAGGCGCGAAAGCACGGGUAGCGAACAGG